GCCUCGCUGGUGUAGUGGUAGCACGCGCCUCUGGUACAGGUUUAACUCAGGGGUUCAACUCCCGACCGGGAUC
This is a non-coding RNA of Parelaphostrongylus tenuis, 73 nucleotides long. The record is from the annotation of a GenBank genome assembly. NCBI's taxonomy places the organism in Eukaryota, Metazoa, Nematoda, Chromadorea, Rhabditida, Metastrongylidae.